Molecule: long non-coding RNA, 833 nt
Organism: Salvia miltiorrhiza (redroot sage)
Lineage: Eukaryota; Viridiplantae; Streptophyta; Magnoliopsida; Lamiales; Lamiaceae
Exons: 2
Source: RefSeq, a predicted model, not a curated record
AAAUAUAUAAUAUAUAUAUAUAUAUAUAUAUAUAUAUAUAUAUAUAUCCCUACUUAAUGACCUAACCCUAAACCCUAACUCUAGCUUUGUAUAUAAAUAGAGGCAUUUAGUCCUCACAAUAGAUCACUCCUACAGAUUUAUUUACUCUACGCUCUCUACGCUAUUCUCUUCUCUUCUACUUUUCUCUCUACUUUCAACACGUUAUCAGCACGAUUGUUCUACAAGAUUGUUCGCAAUUGUUCUACAAGAUUGUUCGUGAUUGUUCUACAAGAUUGUGCCUACCCUCAUUCUUGAUUGUUUGCCCUAGGAAAGAAUCUUGUCUUUCCUGCAAGUGUUGCACAAAAUGUCAAAUAUCACCAAACUUGAGUUUGUUGCACUUGACAUAUCUGGCAAGAAUUACAUGCCAUGGAUUCUUGAUGCCGAGGUUCAUUUGGUUGCAAGAUCUCUAGGAGAGACAAUCAAAGAAGGAAAUGACGCAUCCCAGCAGGAUCGCGCUAAGGCACUCAUUUUCCUUCGUCAUCAUCUUCAUGAUGAUUUGAAAGUUGAAUAUCUUACCAUCAAAGACCCAUGUGAAUUGUGGAAAAACCUCAAAGAACGGUUUGAUCAUCAAAGGACUGUUGUUCUUCCUAAGGCUCGUUUUGAGUGGAUGCAUUUAAGAAUGCAAGAUUUCAAAAGUGUGAGUGCUUAUAAUUCGGAAUUGUUUCGAAUUACUUCUAAAUUGAAACUAUGUGGUGAAACAAUCACCGAUGAAGAUAUGCUUGAGAAAAAUUCUCAACUUUUCAUGCUUCAAAUGUGCUCUUACAACAACAAUAUAGAGAGCGAGGUUUCAAAAA